RNAcentral lists this ribosomal RNA (253 nucleotides) under uncultured bacterium. Its description in RNAcentral is "partial 16S ribosomal RNA". It matches the Rfam family "Bacterial small subunit ribosomal RNA", at positions 524 to 776 of the family's 1533-position model. The record is from RNAcentral.
UACAGAGGGUGCAAGCGUUGUUCGGAAUUACUGGGCGUAAAGGGCUCGUAGGCGGCCAACUAAGUCACACGUGAAAUCCCCAGGCUAAACCUGGGAACUGCGUGUGAUACUGGAUGGCUUGAAUUCGGGAGAGGGAUGCAGAAUUCCAGGUGUAGCGGUGAAAUGCGUAGAUAUCUGGAGGAAUACCGGUGGCGAAGGCGGCAUCCUGGACCGACAUUGACGCUGAUGAGCGAAAGCUAGGGGAGCAAACGGG